GUGGGGAAUCUUGCGCAAUGGGCGAAAGCCUGACGCAGCCAUGCCGCGUGGAUGAUGAAGGUCUUAGGAUUGUAAAAUCCUUUCACCGGUGAAGAUAAUGACUGUAGCCGGAGAAGAAGCCCCGGCUAACUUCGUGCCAGCAGCCGCGGUAAUACGAAGGGGGCUAGCGUUGCUCGGAAUUACUGGGCGUAAAGGGAGCGUAGGCGGACAUUUAAGUCAGGGGUGAAAUCCCAGAGCUCAACUCUGGAACUGCCUUUGAUACUGGGUGUCUUGAGUGUGAGAGAGGUAUGUGGAACUCCGAGUGUAGAGGUGAAAUUCGUAGAUAUUCGGAAGAACACCAGUGGCGAAGGCGACAUACUGGCUCAUUACUGACGCUGAGGCUCGAAAGCGUGGGGAGCAAACAGGAUUAGAUACCCUUGUAGUCC
This 425-nucleotide ribosomal RNA is filed under the name uncultured bacterium. RNAcentral describes it as "bacterial SSU rRNA". It matches the Rfam family "Bacterial small subunit ribosomal RNA", at positions 354 to 796 of the family's 1533-position model. The record is from RNAcentral.